UACGUAGGGUGCGAGCGUUAAUCGGAAUUACUGGGCGUAAAGCGUGCGCAGGCGGCUUUGCAAGACAGAUGUGAAAUCCCCGGGCUCAACCUGGGAACUGCCUUUGUGACUGCAUAGCUAGAGUACGGCAGAGGGGGAUGGAAUUCCGCGUGUAGCAGUGAAAUGCGUAGAUAUGCGGAGGAACACCAAUGGCGAAGGCAAUCCCCUGGGCCUGUACUGACGCUCAUGCACGAAAGCGUGGGGAGCAAACAGG
Molecule: ribosomal RNA, 253 nt
Filed under: uncultured bacterium
Lineage: Bacteria
Description: partial 16S ribosomal RNA
Rfam family: Bacterial small subunit ribosomal RNA
Source: RNAcentral